This 654-nucleotide ribosomal RNA is filed under the name uncultured fungus. Its description in RNAcentral is "eukaryotic LSU rRNA". It matches the Rfam family "Eukaryotic large subunit ribosomal RNA", at positions 40 to 504 of the family's 3401-position model. The record is from RNAcentral. Lineage: Eukaryota; Fungi.
AUAUUAUUCAGCGGAGGAAAAGAAAACAACCGUGAUUCCCUCAGUCAGGGGCGACCGAAGAGGGACCGGACCCGUUGCUGAAUCUGGCCCUCAAACGGGCUUGAGUUGUGGCAAUGACGCUGAUUGUGGUUGGUAAGCGGACUGGGUGAAUUUCAUGUGNCAAGCAGACCCNGUGCUGGGACCACCUCUCUUGUGAGUAUUGAGCCCNUAGACCGUGUUAGCCCGUUGAGGCAGGAACCGCAGCCUCAUGAAACAGCACCAAGCAAGUAGCCCUGCUUUGGAAUGCAGUGGUGAGUGGCAAGGUAUGUUUCUGCAAGGUUAAAUCAGAGGUAGGAAGCCCGAUAGCGAACCAGUAGCGUGACGNAAGNUUGAAAAGCACUUUGGAAGAGAGUGACAUAGAACCUGAAGUCGUGACACGAAUAAGGGACGUACUNNCAUUUCAUUUUUCGUCAGGGGCCGACCACUAANGCAUUCUCCCGAUCGGACUCACGAGGCCGGGCGGGCAACUAAAGUGCAGAAGAGGGGUACCGGCAAAUCGAGCGGAAGUAAAGGCGUGCGUCCCGGCGUGGCGAGUGUAAAAAGCUCGUCUGCGCCGCACGCGUGCGUCCUUUCCGUGAUGCUCAAACACUUGACGCUGGAAAUGGGGUGCCUCCA